AGGCAGCAGUGGGGAAUAUUGCACAAUGGGCGCAAGCCUGAUGCAGCCAUGCCGCGUGUAUGGAAGAAGGCCUUCGGGUUGUAAAGUACUUUCAGCAGUGAGGAAGGUGGGUAUGUUAAUAGCAUACUCAUUUGACGUUUAGCUGCAGAAGAAGCACCGGCUAACUCCGUGCCAGCAGCCGCGGUAAUACGGAGGGUGCGAGCGUUAAUCGGAAUUACUGGGCGUAAAGCGCAUGCAGGUGGUUUGUUAAGUCAGAUGUGAAAGCCCGGGGCUCAACCUCGGAAUUGCAUUUGAAACUGGCAAACUAGAGUACUGUAGAGGGGGUAGAAUUUCAGGUGUAGCGGUGAAAUGCGUAGAGAUCUGAAGGAAUACCGGUGGCGAAGGCGGCCCCCUGGACAGAUACUGACACUCAGAUGCGAAAGCGUGGGGAGCAAACAGGAUUAGAUACCCUGGUAG
Molecule: ribosomal RNA, 456 nt
Filed under: uncultured bacterium
Lineage: Bacteria
Description: bacterial SSU rRNA
Rfam family: Bacterial small subunit ribosomal RNA
Source: RNAcentral